RNAcentral lists this unclassified non-coding RNA (1550 nucleotides) under Hevea brasiliensis (rubber tree). The record is from RNAcentral. Lineage: Eukaryota; Viridiplantae; Streptophyta; Magnoliopsida; Malpighiales; Euphorbiaceae.
UUCACUUCUCUCAUUGUACUAAUCUUUUUCUUUCAUUCUCUUCAUCACUCUUCACACAUGUUUUCCUCCUUAAAGUUUCCCUGGCCACUAUCUCUUUCUCCCUCUUGUUUUCUGUUUGGCGAUUUUUAGAUUCUGUGUGUCAGAGUUACAUUUUCCUUUUGUCUUUCUGAUUUUCUGAGCAAGAGGACCCCUUUCUGUCAGAUACAAAAUCUCUUAUCUCUAACACUUGCUUUUAAGUGCUAUCCUUCACAUAUCUGCAUCAUUAUCAAUACCCAACUACCCAUAUUCACCACUCCUUCAUGAAUCCUCAUCACCACUCCUCUUAUUUAAACCCUAAUUCUUUGAAAUCUAGGUUCACUAAAAACUUCCUUCGAUCUUUGAUUAAAAUAAACAAGCAAACACCUUUUCCAUGUCGUCCUACAGAGAUGUUUCAACGAUGUCAUAAGGUUAAGACUGCUGCUGAUAAAUCCCUAGCUUGCGCUGUUGGGUCAAGGAGAGUUUGGAGUAGGGCAAUGCUUUGCAAGAUUCGAAACCGAGCACUGAGGAGGGGACCCCAGAAGCCUCCUUCAGUUAGAAGAAUCAUCAUCAACAAUCGAACCAUGAAAAAGGGUUUUAAUUGUUUAAAGGAGAAGAUGAAUGAUGAUCAAGAAGCUGGUAUUGAUCAAACCAGUAAGCUAAGAAAACUGGUACCAGGAGGUGAAGCUAUGGAUUUAUGCAAUUUGUUGGAUGAGGCUGCACAUUACAUCAAGUGCCUUAACACCCAAGUACAGGUGAUGAGAAGUAUUGCUGAUUUCUACUCUACUUGAUCUAUAUAUUAUAUAUACACACCUAUUUUCAUAUAUAACAUUAUAAUUAAGUAGAAAAACAGAAGUAACGAAUCCUAUUAAGUAUCAACAGAGAAAAAAUAUAUAAAAAAAUUAAUAAAUGGCAUAAAAAAAAAUCGGGGACUUUAUGUGAAAAAUAUAUGUAUUUUACAAGUACCAUAGCCCUAGUAAUUUCUAUGUAUGGCAAUGUACUUGAACCAGAUGAGCUUGAUGCUUGUGAAAAGCAAUGGAUAUUACUACCAUAUCUAUAUUAUAUAUAUUGCCUGUGUAUGGAAAUUUCGUGUCUCACCAAUGAUUUUAUUUUAUUACUAAUAUCUUCUUAAUUUCUUGCUAUAUAUAUUCACCUGGGUUUUACUUUCAGCUAGCUAGCUUCUUGAAAAAACUGGUGAUGAACUGAUCUCUAGCUAGCUUAGUGUUCCAGGAAAUUCAUGAUGCAGAAAGGAUUGAAUCCCUUGGUAAGGAUUGAAGAAAACUGGCACUCACUUUUUUAGGAAAAAAAAAAGGGCAUCUUUUGGUAAUUAGCAGAGGCAAUGGGUCCAAGUAGGUAAUAAUUGUGCUCCCUGGCCUUUAGUCUUGAACCCGUGUAUGUUUCUCCAGUUUUCAAUGUUUUUACGUUUGUCACCCAGUUGCUUCAAAAGUGAUGACCAAAUGAUUCCUUUCUCCCACACAUGCUUCCCACCAAUUAUGUUUCUUUCCCAUCUGUUGUGUGUGUGUGUGUAUAUAUAU